This 630-nucleotide ribosomal RNA is filed under the name uncultured Gammaproteobacteria bacterium. Its description in RNAcentral is "bacterial SSU rRNA". It matches the Rfam family "Bacterial small subunit ribosomal RNA", at positions 57 to 676 of the family's 1533-position model. The record is from RNAcentral. Lineage: Bacteria; Pseudomonadati; Pseudomonadota; Gammaproteobacteria.
GCAAGUCGAACGGCAGCACAGCAGUAGCAAUACUGUGGGUGGCGAGUGGCGGACGGGUGAGGAAUACAUCGGAAUUUGCCCUGUCGUGGGGGAUAACGUAGGGAAACUUACGCUAAUACCGCAUACGACCUAACGGUGAAAGCGGGGGAUCGCAAGACCUCGCGCGGUUGGAGAAGCCGAUGUCAGAUUAGCUAGUUGGCAGGGUAAUGGCCCACCAAGGCGACGAUCUGUAGCUGGUCUGAGAGGAUGAUCAGCCACACUGGGACUGAGACACGGCCCAGACUCCUACGGGAGGCAGCAGUGGGGAAUAUUGGACAAUGGGCGCAAGCCUGAUCCAGCAAUGCCGCGUGUGUGAAGAAGGCCUUCGGGUUGUAAAGCACUUUUAUCUGGAGCGAAAUCUGCAGGGCUAAUACCCAUGCAGUCUGACGGUACCAGAGGAAUAAGCACCGGCUAACUUCGUGCCAGCAGCCGCGGUAAUACGAAGGGUGCAAGCGUUACUCGGAAUUACUGGGCGUAAAGCGUGAGUAGGUGGUUUCUUAAGUCUGCUGUGAAAGCCCCGGGCUCAACCUGGGAAUUGCAGUGGAUACUGGGAAGCUAGAGUGCGGUAGAGGGUAGUGGAAUUCCCGGUGU